GGUCAAGUGAAGAAGCGCAUACGGUGGAUGCCUUGGCAGUCAGAGGCGAUGAAAGACGUGGUAGCCUGCGAAAAGCUUCGGGGAGUCGGCAAACAGACUUUGAUCCGGAGAUCUCUGAAUGGGGGAACCCACCUAGGAUAACCUAGGUAUCUUGUACUGAAUCCAUAGGUGCAAGAGGCGAACCAGGGGAACUGAAACAUCUAAGUACCCUGAGGAAAAGAAAUCAACCGAGAUUCCCUUAGUAGUGGCGAGCGAACGGGGAUUAGCCCUUAAGCUUCAUUGAUUUUAGCGGAACGCUCUGGAAAGUGCGGCCAUAGUGGGUGAUAGCCCCGUACGCGAAAGGAUCUUUGAAGUGAAAUCGAGUAGGACGGAGCACGAGAAACUUUGUCUGAACAUGGGGGGACCAUCCUCCAAGGCUAAAUACUACUGACUGACCGAUAGUGAACCAGUACCGUGAGGGAAAGGCGAAAAGAACCCCGGAGAGGGGAGUGAAAUAGAACCUGAAACCGUAUGCGUACAAGCAGUGGGAGCCUACUUGUUAGGUGACUGCGUACCUUUUGUAUAAUGGGUCAGCGACUUAUAUUCAGUGGCAAGCUUAACCGUAUAGGGUAGGCGUAGCGAAAGCGAGUCUUAAUAGGGCGUUUAGUCGCUGGGUAUAGACCCGAAACCGGGCGAUCUAUCCAUGAGCAGGUUGAAGGUUAGGUAACACUGACUGGAGGACCGAACCCACUCCCGUUGAAAAGGUAGGGGAUGACUUGUGGAUCGGAGUGAAAGGCUAAUCAAGCUCGGAGAUAGCUGGUUCUCCUCGAAAGCUAUUUAGGUAGCGCCUCAUGUAUCACUCUGGGGGGUAGAGCACUGUUUCGGCUAGGGGGUCAUCCCGACUUACCAAACCGAUGCAAACUCCGAAUACCCAGAAGUGCCGAGCAUGGGAGACACACGGCGGGUGCUAACGUCCGUCGUGAAAAGGGAAACAACCCAGACCGCCAGCUAAGGUCCCAAAGUUGUGGUUAAGUGGUAAACGAUGUGGGAAGGCUUAGACAGCUAGGAGGUUGGCUUAGAAGCAGCCAUCCUUUAAAGAAAGCGUAAUAGCUCACUAGUCGAGUCGGCCUGCGCGGAAGAUGUAACGGGGCUCAAACCACACACCGAAGCUGCGGGUGUCACGUAAGUGACGCGGUAGAGGAGCGUUCUGUAAGCCUGUGAAGGUGAGUUGAGAAGCUUGCUGGAGGUAUCAGAAGUGCGAAUGCUGACAUGAGUAACGACAAUGGGUGUGAAAAACACCCACGCCGAAAGACCAAGGGUUCCUGCGCAACGUUAAUCGACGCAGGGUUAGUCGGUUCCUAAGGCGAGGCUGAAAAGCGUAGUCGAUGGGAAACAGGUUAAUAUUCCUGUACUUCUGGUUACUGCGAUGGAGGGACGGAGAAGGCUAGGCCAGCUUGGCGUUGGUUGUCCAAGUUUAAGGUGGUAGGCUGAAAUCUUAGGUAAAUCCGGGGUUUCAAGGCCGAGAGCUGAUGACGAGUCGUCUUUUAGAUGACGAAGUGGUUGAUGCCAUGCUUCCAAGAAAAGCUUCUAAGCUUCAGGUAACCAGGAACCGUACCCCAAACCGACACAGGUGGUCGGGUAGAGAAUACCAAGGCGCUUGAGAGAACUCGGGUGAAGGAACUAGGCAAAAUGGCACCGUAACUUCGGGAGAAGGUGCGCCGGCUAGGGUGAAGGAUUUACUCCGUAAGCUCUGGCUGGUCGAAGAUACCAGGCCGCUGCGUCUUGAUCGAAGCCCCGGUAAACGGCGGCCGUAACUAUAACGGUCCUAAGGUAGCGAAAUUCCUUGUCGGGUAAGUUCCGACCUGCACGAAUGGCGUAACGAUGGCGGCGCUGUCUCCACCCGAGACUCAGUGAAAUUGAAAUCGCUGUGAAGAUGCAGUGUAUCCGCGGCUAGACGGAAAGACCCCGUGAACCUUUACUGUAGCUUUGCACUGGACUUUGAGCCUGCUUGUGUAGGAUAGGUGGGAGGCUUUGAAGCGUGGACGCCAGUUCGCGUGGAGCCAUCCUUGAAAUACCACCCUGGCAUGCUUGAGGUUCUAACUCUGGUCCGUGAUCCGGAUCGAGGACAGUGUAUGGUGGGCAGUUUGACUGGGGCGGUCUCCUCCUAAAGAGUAACGGAGGAGUACGAAGGUGCGCUAAGGUACUCCGGGGAUAACAGGCUGAUACCGCCCAAGAGUUCAUAUCGACGGCGGUGUUUGGCACCUCGAUGUCGGCUCAUCACAUCCUGGGGCUGAAGCCGGUCCCAAGGGUAUGGCUGUUCGCCAUUUAAAGUGGUACGCGAGCUGGGUUUAGAACGUCGUGAGACAGUUCGGUCCCUAUCUGCCGUGGACGUUUGAGAUUUGAGAGGGGCUGCUCCUAGUACGAGAGGACCGGAGUGGACGAACCUCUGGUGUUCCGGUUGUCACGCCAGUGGCAUUGCCGGGUAGCUAUGUUCGGAAAAGAUAACCGCUGAAAGCAUCUAAGCGGGAAACUUGCCUCAAGAUGAGAUCUCACUGGGAACUUGAUUCCCCUGAAGGGCCGUCGAAGACUACGACGUUGAUAGGCUGGGUGUGUAAGCGUUGUGAGGCGUUGAGCUAACCAGUACUAAUUGCCCGUGAGGCUUGACCAU
Molecule: ribosomal RNA, 2647 nt
Filed under: Pseudomonas aeruginosa
Lineage: Bacteria; Pseudomonadati; Pseudomonadota; Gammaproteobacteria; Pseudomonadales; Pseudomonadaceae
Description: 23S ribosomal RNA
Rfam family: Bacterial large subunit ribosomal RNA
Source: RNAcentral